GGGAGAAGCAGGCUCCAUGCAGGGAGCCCGACGUGGGACUCGAUCCUGGGUCUCCAGGAUCGUGCCCUGGGCCAAAGGCAGGCGCUAAACCGCUGUGCCACCCAGGGAUCCCUCUCUCUCUUCUUAUCACAUACGAUAGAGUGGCUUUCACGCUUGGCAAGCAGCUACAGAGGAAAGAAACCUUCAUAAGGUGCCUGUGUCUGUGGCCUGCAUUUGAAGGCAAGAGCCCACCCAGCAAGAAUAAAAGGUGGGGGGCUCAUUCACUGUGGAGGAGGACAUGGAGGAGAACCAAUGAGAUUGGCUCUUCGUUGAACCAAGCAGAGAUGGAGAGAGGCGACUUGAUUUGAUCUGCUUGCUGGAGGAAGAAUUAAGACAUAAUGAUGGACUGGAUGGCAGAAAGAAGGGAGGAAUGAAGAGUGACUUCUAGGUUUUUAUCCUGAGCAAGUGGAUGGUGCCAUUUAUUGAAAUGGAAAAGACUCAAGGGAGGAGCAGUAGGCUCCACACCCAGUGUGGAACCCAGUGUAGAGCCCUGUAUGAGGCCCAAACUCAUGACCCUGAGAUCAAGAGUCAGAUGCUCAAUGGACGGAGCCACACAGGUGCCCUCAAGAUGCUCUUUAAACACUUAUGGCUUAUAUCCAUUUUUCCAGGAUGGAAACCAACCCACCAAGAACUGAAUCUUUUUAUUCAGUAGUUUAAACCCACCUAAUAAAUAAAUAUUCUGUUAUGUCUCACACAACGUAAGUGGUGGCAGACAGCAAACUGGUAACAGCUUUGUGUCUUGAGCCUUUUGGAAUUUAGAGUGUGGAUGAGUAGUAUCACUUGCCGGAAAUAAAAGGUAACGGAAAAUAUAUUAUCACAAAAGAAGCAAGGUGAUUAGAGUCCGGCUCACCCUCCCAGCUGGGGCUUCGGAAGGGCUCUGGUUGAAAGGGAGAUUCAAAAAAAAAAAAAAAAAAAAGAAAGGGAGAUUCACAGAGGAGGUGUCACAGCCUCCACUGGGGAUGUUAACAAUGGAGGAUCCGUGCGGGGGGUAUAGAAACUCUGCGUGAUGUUCUUGCAACUUUUCUGUAAAUCGAAAAUGAUUCUAAAAUGAAAAGUUUAUUAAAAAAAAAAAAGUUGACUGAUACCAAACCAGACUUUGUCCUUGACUCUGAGAAAUGAAAGAGAAUAAGAAGCAAACUCACUUUUCUCCUGUGGUCAUCCCGUCUCCUAAUGCUUCCUCCUCGUGCCACCUGAGGUCAUCCCACGGACUCCUCUACCCCCAGGGCAGCUCUGAGCCUUGGGAAACUGUGGCUGGGUCUGGGCUGGUCCGUGCUUUCUCCAAAUGCCUGGGCCAAAGGCUUAGGCUUUUUCUGUGGACGAGGCUUCGUUAGGGGUGUUUAAGUGGCUUUGGGGGUGCCUUCAUCUGGCUGUAGGGGUGAGCAGGCUGG
Canis lupus familiaris (dog) is the source of this 1427-nucleotide long non-coding RNA. RefSeq lists it as uncharacterized. NCBI's taxonomy places the organism in Eukaryota, Metazoa, Chordata, Mammalia, Carnivora, Canidae. The record is from RefSeq and is a predicted model, not a curated record. The transcript has 5 exons.